CUGUGAGCACUUGUAUGGUACUCAUUUUUAUCAUUGAAGCCUUAAAAUUUUCGUAGAAAAGAGUCUGGUUACUGCUGAAGCUGUUGACGAUGGGAAUGGUAUCUGCACCAAUGGUGGAAAACAACUCCUGAUCACUUCGAAGCAAGCCAUUUUGAAGUUGAAGAUUGGAGUAGUAGUUAGAGUCAAGUCUAUCAGGUGUGCUUAGGUCCAAGUUUGUGAGAUUGGUUCCAGGUCCACCAUUGGGGCAAAUUGCUCGAAGUGCUUGUAACAGGGUUGUGUUAAGAGUUGGGUCAGGGUUUCC
Molecule: long non-coding RNA, 301 nt
Filed under: Vigna radiata
Lineage: Eukaryota; Viridiplantae; Streptophyta; Magnoliopsida; Fabales; Fabaceae
Description: long non-coding RNA (VRAD_LNC010658)
Source: RNAcentral